GACGAACGCUGGCGGCGUGCCUAAUACAUGCAAGUAGAACGAACAGUUUAUACCCUAGCUUGCUACACCAUAGACUGUGAGUUGCGAACGGGUGAGUAACGCGUAGGUAACAUGCCUGGUAGCGGGGGAUAACUAUUGGAAACGAUAGCUAAUACCUCAUAAUAUUAAUUAUUGCAUGAUAAUUAAUUGAAAGGUGCAAUUGCACCACUACCAGAUGGACCUGCGGUGUAUUAGCUAGUAGGGGAGGUAACGGCUCACCUAGGCGACGAUACAGAGCCGAACUGGGAAGGUUGUCGGCCCACCUGGGAAUGGGACAAGGCCCAGACUCCUUAGGGGGGGAGGCGGAGGGGAUCCUCGGGAAUGGGCGGAAGUCUGAACGAGGAACGCCGCGGUGGGGAAGAAGGGUUUCGGGUCGUAAAGAUCUGUUUUUUGGGAAGAAACGAUGUGGGAGUGGACAGUUCACACUGUGACGGUAUCUAACCAGAAAGGGACGGCUAACUACGUG
Molecule: ribosomal RNA, 505 nt
Filed under: uncultured bacterium
Lineage: Bacteria
Description: partial 16S ribosomal RNA
Rfam family: Bacterial small subunit ribosomal RNA
Source: RNAcentral